This 624-nucleotide long non-coding RNA is filed under the name Mytilus galloprovincialis (Mediterranean mussel). The record is from RNAcentral. Lineage: Eukaryota; Metazoa; Mollusca; Bivalvia; Mytilida; Mytilidae.
GUUUGAGACAUGUGCUCUGCCCAUAUAAGAUCUAUUAGUAGUUUCCAUUGGAAACUAUCAGACCUAUCAUUUGAAGUCUGAGAGUUCUUGCUGUUCUCCUAAUGGAUCGGUAGUUUAUUUCCGAGAUCCUUUUCAGUAGGAUUUUCGGCUUUCCUCUACCUUGAUACAGCAGGGCAUUUGGUAGUGUCGGUUUUGAUAGAUUUUGUCCUAACCGAUUCCUCGUUAUUACCUUAGACGUAUUUUGCCAAGGCAUUUGUGGGGCAUCUGGGGUGACCCUUUCCCAUUUAAAACACACAGAUAUUUAAAAGGAUAUUUGAUACAUAGAAAAAAUACACUUUUUAUACUUUGAGGACUGAGCGAAUCAGGUGAGUGUGUGAGUUGGUAUGUUUUAUUUUGUUAUAUUUUAUUAUGUUUAGGGACGGUUAACUUUCUGGUAAUAAGACCCGUCACAGGCUGGCUGGGGAAUUGGGUAGGCAAAUGCUCACAUUAAUCUGUACCGAUACAGGCUCCAAAUGCUUCCUUUAUAUACGCCAUAACUUAUGGUGGUGAUCCAUAUAAAGGAUGCUUAUACGGAGACAAGAAGAAGCAGAAGUAUGGCUAUACAACUAUACAAAUCCUUGGUAG